Molecule: ribosomal RNA, 482 nt
Filed under: uncultured bacterium
Lineage: Bacteria
Description: partial 16S ribosomal RNA
Rfam family: Bacterial small subunit ribosomal RNA
Source: RNAcentral
AUUGAACGCUGGCGGCAUGCUUUACACAUGCAAGUCGAACGGCAGCGCGGGGCAACCUGGCGGCGAGUGGCGAACGGGUGAGUAAUAUAUCGGAACGUACCCAGAAGUGGGGGAUAACGUAGCGAAAGUUACGCUAAUACCGCAUACGAUCUACGGAUGAAAGUAGGGGACCGCAAGGCCUUAUGCUUUUGGAGCGGCCGAUAUCUGAUUAGCUAGUCGGUGAGGUAAAGGCUCACCAAGGCGACGAUCAGUAGCUGGUCUGAGAGGACGACCAGCCACACUGGAACUGAGACACGGUCCAGACUCCUACGGGAGGCAGCAGUGGGGAAUUUUGGACAAUGGGCGCAAGCCUGAUCCAGCAAUGCCGCGUGAGUGAAGAAGGCCUUCGGGUUGUAAAGCUCUUUUGUCAGGGAAGAAACGGUAGAGGCUAAUAUCCUUUGCUAAUGACGGUACCUGAAGAAUAAGCACCGGCUAACUACGUG